UUAAGUGAAUAAGGGCGCACGGUGGAUGCCUUGGCACUAGGAGCCGAUGAAGGACGGGACUAACACCGAUAUGCUUCGGGGAGCUGUAAGUAAGCUUUGAUCCGGAGAUUUCCGAAUGGGGGAACCCAGCAUCUUUUAUAGGAUGUUACUUUUCAGUGAAUACAUAGCUGAUUAGAGGUAGACGCAGAGAACUGAAACAUCUAAGUACCUGCAGGAAGAGAAAGAAAAAUCGAUUCCCUGAGUAGCGGCGAGCGAAACGGGAAAAGCCCAAACCAAGAGGCUUGCCUCUUGGGGUUGUAGGACUCCGAUAUGGUAGUCCAGUGAGAUAGUCGAAGGACCUGGAAAGGUCUGCUAGAAAGGGUAAAAGCCCCGUAGACAAAAUUUGACUGGCACCUAGGAGGAUCCUGAGUACGGCGGAACACGAGGAAUUCCGUCGGAAUCCGGGAGGACCAUCUCCCAAGGCUAAAUACUCCCUAGUGACCGAUAGUGAACCAGUACCGUGAGGGAAAGGUGAAAAGCACCCCGGAAGGGGAGUGAAAUAGAUCCUGAAACCGUGUGCCUACAACAAGUUAGAGCCCGUUAAUGGGUGAUAGCGUGCCUUUUGUAGAAUGAACCGGCGAGUUACGAUUACUUGCGAGGUUAAGUUGAAAAGACGGAGCCGCAGCGAAAGCGAGUCUGAAUAGGGCGAAUGAGUAAGUGGUCGUAGACCCGAAACCAUGUGAUCUACCCAUGUCCAGGUUGAAGGUGCGGUAAAACGCACUGGAGGACCGAACCCACGUACGUUGAAAAGUGCGGGGAUGAGGUGUGGGUAGCGGAGAAAUUCCAAACGAACUUGGAGAUAGCUGGUUCUCUCCGAAAUAGCUUUAGGGCUAGCCUCAGAGUAAGAAUGAUGGAGGUAGAGCACUGUUUGGACUAGGGGCCCAUCUCGGGUUACCGAAUUCAGAUAAACUCCGAAUGCCAUCCAUUCAUCUCUGGGAGUCAGACUGUGAGUGAUAAGAUCCAUAGUCGAAAGGGAAACAGCCCAGACCACCAGCUAAGGUCCCCAAAUAACUAUUAAGUGGAAAAGGAUGUGGGGUUGCACAGACAACUAGGAUGUUGGCUUAGAAGCAGCCACCAUUUAAAGAGUGCGUAAUAGCUCACUAGUCGAGUGACCCUGCGCCGAAAAUGUACCGGGGCUAAAUAGUUUACCGAAGCUGUGGAACACACCAAUAGGUGUGUUGGUAGGAGAGCGUUCUAAGGGCGUUGAAGGUAGAUCGUGAGGACUGCUGGAGCGCUUAGAAGUGAGAAUGCCGGUAUGAGUAGCGAAAGACAGGUGAGAAUCCUGUCCACCGAAUGACUAAGGUUUCCUGGGGAAGGCUCGUCCGCCCAGGGUUAGUCGGGACCUAAGCCGAGGCCGAUAGGCGUAGGCGAUGGAUAACAGGUUGAUAUUCCUGUACCCGUUGUUUUUGUUUGAGCAAUGGAGGGACGCAGGAGGCUAAGGAAUCAGACGAUUGGAAAUGUCUGUCCAAGCAAUAAGUCUUGAUGUGAGUCAAAUGCUUACGUCUUUAAGGACAAGUUGUGAUGGGGAGGGAAAUAAUAGUACCGAAGUUCCUGAUGUCACACUGCCGAGAAAAGCUUCUAGUGAGAAAACAAUGGCCCGUACCGCAAACCGACACAGGUAGUCGAGGAGAGAAUCCUAAGGUGAGCGAGAGAACUCUCGUUAAGGAACUCGGCAAAAUGACCCCGUAACUUCGGGAGAAGGGGUGCUGAUCUAACGAUCAGCCGCAGUGAAUAGGCCCAAGCGACUGUUUAUCAAAAACACAGGUCUCUGCAAAAUCGAAAGAUGACGUAUAGGGGCUGACGCCUGCCCGGUGCUGGAAGGUUAAGAGGAGUGCUUAGCGUAAGCGAAGGUACGAAUUGAAGCCCCAGUAAACGGCGGCCGUAACUAUAACGGUCCUAAGGUAGCGAAAUUCCUUGUCGGGU
Molecule: ribosomal RNA, 1962 nt
Filed under: human gut metagenome
Description: bacterial LSU rRNA
Rfam family: Bacterial large subunit ribosomal RNA
Source: RNAcentral